Molecule: long non-coding RNA, 1164 nt
Organism: Osmia lignaria (orchard mason bee)
Lineage: Eukaryota; Metazoa; Arthropoda; Insecta; Hymenoptera; Megachilidae
Source: RefSeq, a predicted model, not a curated record
UGUCCAACCAUUGCAGAAGUGUUUCGCAAGUCGAAGAAGAGAGUACAAGGUGUCCUGGGGAGAGGACUUCGCCUUCCGGAGAUGGUAUCAAGAACUAAUUGAUGAUGGGAACAUGACAAACCAUGGAAAAGAAAUUCAAGUUUUACCAUAAAGAAGAUUACCAUAAUUCAAGAGUUUUGGAGUUCACCAAAAUUUGUGAUAAUGAAUAACUUGAAGAAACUGAAGAUGGGAACAAGAAGAAUCAUGAAAAAGAAAUUCAAGUUUUACUAUAAAGAAGAAAAACCAUAAUUCAAGUAUUCCUUCAAAAAGGAAUUCAAAUUUUAUUAUGAAGAAAACACCAUAACUGAAUUAUUCAAAAGACCACCAGAAUGCACAGGAAUAAAUAAGUUAAAGAAGCAAAUGAAAUCAUGUAAGGAUGAAGAGGAUAAAAGGAAGAAUGAUCUGAAGAAAUGAUAAACAAUUCUAUGGAAAUGAAUAGCUAAUUUUGAAGAAGAAGAGGGAUAAAUGACUGCCAAGAAGAAAAAUAGAUGCACCAGAAAAAUUCUAUGGACUUCAAAGUAUUAGCUUUCUGGUUUUCACUCAAAACAACCCAAAAUAAAGAAUUAAAAUUUCAAGGUGUAGAAGAUAAGCAUUAUCAAGAAGAAAAUUAAUAAUAACAAACAGUUGAAGAAUUAAUAGAUAUUUCCUAUGCUGAACCUUGAAUUCAACAAAUAAAAAAUUAGUGAUACUGCAUAAAAAAUGAUAAAACUUUACCACACAAAAUUGUUAUAAUUUACAAAAACUCUACUUUCAGAAAGAAGAUCGAAUUUUUAAACAUCUGUUCAAAAUACAAUAAGGCAACUCAUUUCUACAAAAAUAUAUGAACAAUAAUUAAUAUAAAAGUUUUCGAAUAAAAUUUUGGCUGAACCAAAAUUUGAAUGAAGAAAACUUUAGCGCUGAUUUUUGAAGACUUCUGGUAAACGCUACUUUUUAUCUGAGAUUUCGUUACCAAUAAUGUAAAAUGUAAAUCAUAAACAAUAAAACUACGAAACCUGUCGAAACGGUACAAAAAGCAUCGAUGUGUGAAUAAUUAACUACUUUGCAAAUUGAGUUUUGCUGGAUCCACAUUCAGUUGGAUAAGGAUUGUUGAAAACUAAUUACUCCCGAAGAAUAGAAGUGAAACAA